Molecule: ribosomal RNA, 253 nt
Filed under: uncultured bacterium
Lineage: Bacteria
Description: partial 16S ribosomal RNA
Rfam family: Bacterial small subunit ribosomal RNA
Source: RNAcentral
UACGGAGGGUGCGAGCGUUAAUCGGAAUUACUGGGCGUAAAGCGUACGCAGGCGGUUUGUUAAGCGAGAUGUGAAAGCCCCGGGCUCAACCUGGGAACUGCACUUGAAACUGUCGAACUAGAGUAUUGGAGAGGUAAGUGGAAUUCCAGGUGUAGCGGUGGAAUGCGUAGAUAUCUGGAGGAACACCAAAAGCGAAGGCAGCUUACUGGACAAUUACUGACGCUGAUGGACGAAAGCGUGGGUAGCGAACAGG